GAAAGAGAGGGGGGAGGAGCCGGGUGAGUGCGUAGGGGGAGGGCGUGGUGAGGGUGUGCUGGGCGUGAAGUGCGUGCAGGGGGUUUGUUAAGUGUAGGGUGAAAGCGCCCGGCUCAACUGGGAGAGGUCCUUGGAUACUGGGAGACUUGAGGGGGGUAGAGGAGAGUGGAAUUCCCGGUGUAGGGGUGAUAUGCGUAGAGAUCGGGAGGAACACCAGUGGCGAAGGCGGCUCUCUGGGCCCUACCUGACGCUGAUACGCGAAAGCGUGGGGAGCGAACCGGAUUAGAUACCCUUGUAGUC
RNAcentral lists this ribosomal RNA (300 nucleotides) under uncultured Bacillus sp. RNAcentral describes it as "bacterial SSU rRNA". The stretch from base 59 to 300 matches the Rfam family "Bacterial small subunit ribosomal RNA", at positions 554 to 795 of the family's 1533-position model. The record is from RNAcentral. Lineage: Bacteria; Bacillati; Bacillota; Bacilli; Caryophanales; Bacillaceae.